GGCCUGGCUGGUCGGUCCGCCUAACCGCGUGCACUGAUUCGGCCGGGUCUUUCCUUCUGGCUAACCCCAUGCCCUUCACUGGGUGUGGCGGGGAUCCAGGACUUUUACUUUGAAAAAAUUGGAGUGUUUAAAGCAGGCUUUCAAGCUUGAACAUAUUAGCAUGGAAUAAUGAAAUAGGAC
This 180-nucleotide ribosomal RNA is filed under the name uncultured Glomeromycotina. RNAcentral describes it as "partial small subunit ribosomal RNA". Lineage: Eukaryota; Fungi; Glomeromycota. The record is from RNAcentral.